UAAAUUACAUAAAAUCCCCCUGUCAAAAUCCGAUUUUUCACUUUCCCUCGUGUCAUUUAAAAAUCUACACUUUGCCCCCUUGUAAAAUAAAAAAUGUUCACAGGGGAUACGGUGUGUAAAAUGACCAUUUUGCCCCUCACCAUUUUCGUUUCCUCCAUCACCUUCCUCAACCGCCGCCUCGUUCGGCCGCGAUUCACACCUCGAUCGGCCACGAUUUCUCUCCAUUUUCUUCUCCACCUGCUCCCCUUCUCCUCCUGCACCCUCGCCGCCCCUCGAUUUCAGCGAUAGUAGGGAGGAAAUCGAGGUGGGCGUUGAUGGAGAGGUAGGCAAAGGCAACGAGGGCGAAGGCGAGGCGGCGGAGGAGGGAGAAGGUGAUGUGGGUGAGGGCGAGGCAGUGGAGGAGGGCAAGGCGGCGAGGUGGCGGCGAGGCGGCGAGUCGGAAGGAGGCGAAGCAACAGAGAAAAGGGCGGAGGGGUAUUUUCGGCAUAAAAAAAUAUUUUAUAACGGAACC
Molecule: long non-coding RNA, 511 nt
Filed under: Ananas comosus (pineapple)
Lineage: Eukaryota; Viridiplantae; Streptophyta; Magnoliopsida; Poales; Bromeliaceae
Description: long non-coding RNA (ACOM_LNC024024)
Source: RNAcentral